This 538-nucleotide ribosomal RNA is filed under the name Curvularia lunata. RNAcentral describes it as "eukaryotic LSU rRNA". The stretch from base 197 to 352 matches the Rfam family "5.8S ribosomal RNA". Lineage: Eukaryota; Fungi; Ascomycota; Dothideomycetes; Pleosporales; Pleosporaceae. The record is from RNAcentral.
UCUCCGUAGGGUGAAUCUGCGGAGGGAUCAUUACACAAAUUAAAAUAUGAAGGCUUCGGCUGGAUUAUUUUUAUCACCCUUGUCUUUUGCGCACUUGUUGUUUCCUGGGCGGGUUCGCCCGCCACCAGGACCACACCAUAAACCUUUUUUUAUGCAGUUGCAAUCAGCGUCAGUAUAACAAAUGUAAAUCAUUUACAACUUUCAACAACGGAUCUCUUGGUUCUGGCAUCGAUGAAGAACGCAGCGAAAUGCGAUACGUAGUGUGAAUUGCAGAAUUCAGUGAAUCAUCGCGAAUCUUUGAACGCACAUUGCGCCCUUUGGUAUUCCAAAGGGCAUGCCUGUUCGAGCGUCAUUUGUACCCUCAAGCUUUGCUUGGUGUUGGGCGUCUUUUGUCUUUGGCCUCGCCCAAAGACUCGCCUUAAAACGAUUGGCAGCCGGCCUACUGGUUUCGCAGCGCAGCACAUUUUUGCGCUUGCAAUCAGCAAAAAGGACGGCAAUCCAUCAAGACUACAUUUUUACGUUGACCUCGAUCAGGUAG